UUUAAUGGCCGCAGUAAUUUGACUGUGCAAAGGUAGCAUAAUCAAUAGUUUUUUAAUUAAAAGCUUGUAUGAAUGGUUGGACGAGAUAAAGGCUGUCUUUAAGUAAUUAUAUUAGAAUUUAAUUUUUUAGUUAAAAAGCUAAAAUAAAUGUAAAAGACGAGAAGACCCUAUAGAGUUUUAUAUUUUUAUUAAAAUAUUAAUUAUGGAUUUAUUUAUUAUUUUUUAAUUAAAAAUAUUAUAUUGGGGUAAUAUAAAGAUUUAAGUAAUUCUUUUUAUUUUUUAUUAUUUAUUUAUAUUUAUUUGAUCUGAUAUUAUUGAUUAUAAGAAUAAGUUACCUUAGGGAUAACAGCGUAAUUUUUUUUGAGAGUUCAUAUUGAUAAAAUAGUUUGCGACCUCGAUGUUGGAUUAAAGAUUAAUUUAGGUGCAAAAGUUUAAAUUUUUGGUCUGUUCGACCAUUAAAUCUUUACAUGAUCUGAGUUCAGACCGGUUUAAGCCAGGUCGGUUUCUAUCUUUAUAAAAUUAUUAUAUUUUAGUACGAAAGGACCAAGUAUAAGCUAUAAUUAGUUAUUAAUUUGAAUAGUAAU
RNAcentral lists this ribosomal RNA (584 nucleotides) under Microcharidius sp. 11 CA-2017. RNAcentral describes it as "partial large subunit ribosomal RNA". The stretch from base 342 to 500 matches the Rfam family "Bacterial large subunit ribosomal RNA", at positions 2473 to 2632 of the family's 2925-position model. The record is from RNAcentral. Lineage: Eukaryota; Metazoa; Arthropoda; Insecta; Coleoptera; Carabidae.